This 72-nucleotide ribosomal RNA is filed under the name Mecistogaster asticta. Its description in RNAcentral is "partial 16S ribosomal RNA". Lineage: Eukaryota; Metazoa; Arthropoda; Insecta; Odonata; Coenagrionidae. The record is from RNAcentral.
GUCCCAUGCUUAUUGAUUUUUAGUACGAAAGGACCAUUAUUUUGGAAUAAUUCUUUUUGGUUGAAUAAGAUU